UACGUAGGUGGCAAGCGUUAUCCGGAUUUAUUGGGCGUAAAGGGAACGCAGGCGGUCUUUUAAGUCUGAUGUGAAAGCCUUCGGCUUAACCGGAGUAGAGCAUUGGAAACUGGGAGACUUGAGUGCAGAAGAGGAGAGUGGAACUCCAUGUGUAGCGGUGAAAUGCGUAGAUAUAUGGAAGAACACCAGUGGCGAAAGCGGCUCUCUGGUCUGUAACUGACGCUGAGGUUCGAAAGCGUGGGUAGCAAACAGG
This 253-nucleotide ribosomal RNA is filed under the name uncultured bacterium. RNAcentral's name for it is "partial 16S ribosomal RNA". It matches the Rfam family "Bacterial small subunit ribosomal RNA", at positions 524 to 776 of the family's 1533-position model. The record is from RNAcentral.